This is a non-coding RNA of Erinaceus europaeus (western European hedgehog), 630 nucleotides long. The record is from the annotation of a RefSeq genome assembly. Lineage: Eukaryota; Metazoa; Chordata; Mammalia; Eulipotyphla; Erinaceidae.
UGCACAUUCAUGAUUGGCCUUAUAUGGGAAGAACAAUGAAGACAACCAUUGAAGUGUUGACUGUGUUCUGGUGGCUGCAAUUGGACUGGUUGAGUCUAGCAGAGAAUGUGAAGCAACACUCUUCUGUCCUGAAUAUCCAGGAGGGGGAUGAUGCUGUUAUCAACUGUUCUUAUUCAGACAGUGCCUCAUAUUAUUUCCUUUGGUAUAAGCAAGAACCUGGAAGAGGACCCCAGCUCAUUAUAGACAUUCGUUCAAAUAGUAACAGAAAUGAAGCAGGACGACUCACUGUUCUACUGAAUAAGGAGACCAAAGAUCUUUCCCUGUGCAUUGCAGCCACCCAGCCUGGGGACUCAGCUGUCUACUUUUGUGCAGCAAGCACACAUUGCUUCUCAGCCAUCUGAACCCUGUACUGAAAUGUGUGACAGGGAUGUCCUCCUUCUCCAACUCUAGCACUCACUGUAUUAUUUGUCUAUAAUUGAAACUAAUAUUUAGAGACUGAAGAUGCAUAGUAAGGUAUAUGAUCCAACCAGGGUUAAAACAUUUCUCUCAUUGACUUUCUUGAGGGGAUUUAGUUUUAUACUAUUUUGAAAGUUUGGCUUUAAAGAUGACUUGACAUUAGCUACUCAUAAG